Pelobates cultripes (western spadefoot toad) is the source of this 254-nucleotide non-coding RNA. NCBI's taxonomy places the organism in Eukaryota, Metazoa, Chordata, Amphibia, Anura, Pelobatidae. The record is from the annotation of a GenBank genome assembly.
CCCAGCGCCGUCUGAGCCUGUCCUGAUAACGUGCAGUCAUUACAUUAGAUAUAAACCCAGCGCCGUCUGAGCCUGUCCUGAUAACGUGCUGUCAUUAUAUUAGAUAUAAACCCAGCGCUGUCUGAGCCUGUCCUGAUAACGUGCAGUCAUUACAUUAGAUAUAAACCCAGCGCUGUCUGAGCCUGUCCUGAUAACGUGCUGUCAUUACAUUAGAUAUAAACCCAGCACUGUCUGAGCCUGUCCUGAUAACGUGC